This 71-nucleotide transfer RNA is filed under the name Garra poecilura. RNAcentral describes it as "tRNA-Thr". It matches the Rfam family "tRNA". Rfam says of the family: Transfer RNA (tRNA) molecules are approximately 80 nucleotides in length. Their secondary structure includes four short double-helical elements and three loops (D, anti-codon, and T loops). Lineage: Eukaryota; Metazoa; Chordata; Actinopteri; Cypriniformes; Cyprinidae. The record is from RNAcentral.
GCCCUAGUAGUUUAGUAUUAAAACAUCGGUCUUGUAGUCCGAAAAGCGAAGAUAAGUUUCUUCCUAGAGCA